CUGCCCCGACUUGAGAGGUGGAAUGGGUUGAAGAACAAGCAGGCUUUCCACUGGGUUGAAUUUUAAAUUUGAACAAUGGUUCAAAGGCUGAGAGACAAACUGCUCAUUACUGGAAAGAGUGCCAGGAAUCCUGGGAAGCAGGCCUCCCUCCCCACCGGAGCACUGCACCUCAUAGUAAUGGCCUCUUUCAUAGUCACGGAAAGGUUGGAUCAGCGUUUCUUUUCAUUCCUGUCUUUUUUCAGGGACUGCUGGGAUAAAAGGAAGUCUAGAAGAAUAAAAAAUUCACAAACAGGAGAAGAAUAAAAUAUUUAGGGCAAGAGA
Molecule: long non-coding RNA, 321 nt
Filed under: Homo sapiens (human)
Lineage: Eukaryota; Metazoa; Chordata; Mammalia; Primates; Hominidae
Description: HSALNT0018306
Source: RNAcentral